CACGUAGGCGGACCGACAAGUCGGGGGUGAAAUCCCGGGGCUCAACCCCGGAACUGCCUCCGAAACUGCCGGUCUGGAGGUCGAGAGAGGCGAGUGGAAUUCCGAGUGUAGAGGUGAAAUUCGUAGAUAUUCGGAGGAACACCAGUGGCGAAGGCGGCUCGCUGGCUCGAACCUGACGCUGAGGUGCGAAAGCGUGGGGAGCAAACA
This 207-nucleotide ribosomal RNA is filed under the name uncultured bacterium. Its description in RNAcentral is "partial 16S ribosomal RNA". It matches the Rfam family "Bacterial small subunit ribosomal RNA", at positions 568 to 774 of the family's 1533-position model. The record is from RNAcentral.